GUGAUUAGGAAACCUAGUGUAAUUAGGGAACCCUAAUCAACAUUUUUAGAAACUAAGAUUUCUAUUUUUGCCCUUAAUACACAAUCCUAGAUUUAGAGCUUAGAAAACCUUAGGGUUAAACCCUAAGGGUUAGAAUGAAUUGAUAGCUUUGCCACUAAAUGUAAAAACCAAAUGACCAAAUUGCCCUUCUUGUAUUAUUUAAUAGAUAACUUGUAUAGGUUGCCAUAACUUUAGUUGGUAAACCAACUCAACCUAGCCAUGUGCCUAUAAACCAAAAAUCUCAGCCAUCUUGCAUCACAAGUACACUAGAUUCAAAUAUUAUAUAAGAUCAAGGAGAGAGAAGUUGCAUAAAUUAGCUCAUUUUACUUACAACACUCAACCAAAACCCUCUCAACUUUAAAUAUCCAAAAUUUUCUAGCUAGACCAGCCCCUAAUCAAGCCCCACUAACACUUGUAGCAGAUCAGAAGCAUUAGAUCAAGAUUUGGUUUAUAGAGGUAUUAAACCUAACUUAGAAAUCUGAACUUUGAUUCCAUGUUAGAUCUUGUGUUUGAAUGUUUAAAUAUGUUGUUUGUAAUGUCUAUAAGUGAUCUGGGUUGGCACAUGUUAGAUCCAUAACAUGUAAGUGCACGAAAUUGAAGUUUUUAAGAAUCUGGAAAAAUUUCAAAAUGUUGUCUGGCAAUGAAUGUCAGACCUCCUAGAUCUCAUCCUGUUUAUGUUUCUAUGUGUUUAAAUGUUUGUAUUAGUAGUAUUUAAUGUAGGCUUGGAUAUGAAACUUGAUUCAAGGUCAGAUUAUAAUUAGAUUGUAAGUUAUUAAUGGUAAAACCUCGUUGAACAAGCAUGACCAAGGAGUUUCUGGGUAACCCAGAAACUCAUUACCCGAGUCUGACAACGUUUUCAAACGCUUUGAUCUGUCAGGGUUUGAUGUUGUUUGUUGAUGUUAUUGUGACCAGAUUGUAGUAUGUUAUAUGAACUUCAAUAUUAUGCCUUUAUAUCACUAAAACAUCAAAUAGAUUUAACACAGUGGCCGGUCAAAGUAGGCCAGAUGAUCACGACUUGUGUUUUCUGGGUAACCUAGAAAACUAAAGAUCGUGAUCUGUGACAGGGUUUGACCGGUAUGGAUCUUGAUCGUGUAUUAUUGUUAUAUGUAUAUUAU
This 1154-nucleotide long non-coding RNA is filed under the name Panax ginseng (ginseng). Its description in RNAcentral is "long non-coding RNA (PGIN_LNC018617)". Lineage: Eukaryota; Viridiplantae; Streptophyta; Magnoliopsida; Apiales; Araliaceae. The record is from RNAcentral.